RNAcentral lists this long non-coding RNA (1851 nucleotides) under Callithrix jacchus (white-tufted-ear marmoset). Its description in RNAcentral is "lncRNA (ENSCJAG00000079453.1)". Lineage: Eukaryota; Metazoa; Chordata; Mammalia; Primates; Cebidae. The record is from RNAcentral.
AUCAUUGGUACUUUAUAUAUUUUUGUUCAGUGUGCAAUUCAAAGAAUGAAGAAAAGAAUCAAAAAUAAAUACUAUGAUAAAAACAUGAGUCUUCCUACGUUAAUUGACAGUGCAGGUGGUGGUCAGGACAUUACCAGCUUACAGGAGUCUAAUAAAUACAACAUGCAAGUAAAUGGCAAUUUGUAAGUAUGAUGGCUUAUAUUGAAUGUCAACUUGACUGAAGGAUACAAAGUAUUGUUCCUGGGUGUGUCCGUGAGGGUGUUGAUGAAGGAGAUUAACAUGUGAGUCAUAGACUGGGAGAGACAGACUUACCCUCAAUCUGGGUGGGCAGCAUCUAAUCAGCUGCCAGCGUGAAUAGAAUAGAGCAGCAGAAGAUGGAAGAGCAGGUUUGCUGAGUCUUCCAGCCUUCAUCUUUCUCUCAUGCCAGAUGCUUCCUGCCCUCAAACAUCAGAUUCCAGGUUCUUCAGCAUUUGGACUCUUGGAUUUACAGCAGUGGUUUGCUGGGGGCUCUUGGGCCUUUGGCCACAGACUGAAAGUGCACAGUCAGCUUCCUGACUUGAGAUUUUGGGGCUCUGACUUUCUUGCUCCACUGGCUUUCUUGCUCCUCAGCUUGCAGAUGACCUAUCAUGGGACUUCACCUUGUGAACAUCUCACUGGAUGUUUCCAAGUGCAAUCACAAAACUUAAUGGAGAUCAGAGGGCCCCUUUACUUGGAAGAAGAAUUUGAACCCCCUUGGUUUGGAACCAAGGUAAAGAUUGGAAUCUCUCCCAGUGUUCACGUGACUAAACACGUUUGUCACAGUGGUGAGUACAUUCUGCUUUCUACCGAACCAGAGGCAUUUCCCAUUAUCUGAACUCACGCUGUAGACUUGGUGAGAUAAGAAUGCCAGUUCCUCCUGGACUUUUGAAUGCUGCAAUUUAAACUAAUGUUUAUUCCCUCAGGGGUCAGUAAUGAGCUACACAGGAAGCCACAUUACUUGGCUUCCCGGGUUCGGCUGUGUCUUGCCCAUGUGGUAGCCAGCAGCACCUUCCCUCCUCCGUAGCCUUGGCUUGCUCCUACUCAUUCUACUCUUGGCCUGACAGCUCCUUCUCCCAAAGCCCUUUUCAGGCACAGUUUGAUGUUGAUUCAGAUUUCUGUUCUGUAAGUUCUUGCUUCUAUGACAGUGGUUUCCACAUUGUGUUGCAAAUGUCUAUUUCUCAGGCUAAGACAGCACCGCCUGGGAUGGAGAGCCUGUGUUUCCAUCUUCCUAGCUCCAGUGCCACCUACAGGGCCGGGAACAGAGUACUAUAUGUAGCCCAUGAAUGCAUGUUGAACUAAAAGCUGCCUGAAUGAAUAAAAAUAAUGAAUGUUUGAAAUACUGAAAAUAUAAAUCCAUAAAUACAUGGCUUACAUGCAUGCAUAGACAUUUUCUAUGAGUGGCUUAAAUAUUUGGUCACUUUAAAAUGAUUGGAAGAGCCUCUUUAGUGAGAGUAUAUCGGGAAACACUAUAUCCAUUUGGUGAAACAAGGUAAAGAGAAACGAACUAAUGUAUAUUAAAGACCAGAUCCUAGGACAAAUUAAAAUUGCCUUAUGUAGGCUAGGUGUUGUGGCUCACAUCUGUAAUCCUAGCACUUUGGGAGGCUGAGGCAGGUGGAUCACCUGAGGUCAGGAGUUUGAGAUCAGCCUGGCCAACAUAGUGAAAUCCCAUCUCUACUAAAAAUACAAAAAGAAAUUAGCCAGGUGUGGCAGCACACACUUGUAAUCCCAGCUACUCAGGAAGCUGAGGCAGGAGAAUCACUUGAACCCAGGAAGAUGGAGGUUCUAGUGAGCCAGAAUCAUGGCCAUUGUACUCCAGCCUGAGCAAUAGAGUGG